GAUGAACGCUGGCGGCGUGCUUAACACAUGCAAGUCGAACGAAGCACUUUAUUUGAUUUCCUUCGGGACUGAUUAUUUUGUGACUGAGUGGCGGACGGGUGAGUAACGCGUGGGUAACCUGCCUUGUACAGGGGGAUAACAGUUGGAAACGGCUGCUAAUACCGCAUAAGCGCACGGCAUCGCAUGAUGCAGUGUGAAAAACUCCGGUGGUAUAAGAUGGACCCGCGUUGGAUUGGCUAGUUGGUGAGGUAACGGCCCACCAAGGCGACGAUCCAUAGCCGACCUGAGAGGGUGACCAGCCACAAUGGGACUGAGACACGGCCCAAACUCCUACGGGAGGCAGCAGUGGGGAAUAUUGCACAAUGGGCGAAAGCCUGAUGCAGCGACGCCGCGUGAGCGAAGAAGUAUUUCGGUAUGUAAAGCUCUAUCAGCAGGGAAGAUAAUGACGGUACCUGACGAAGAAGCACCGGCUAAAUACGUG
This 481-nucleotide ribosomal RNA is filed under the name uncultured bacterium. RNAcentral's name for it is "partial 16S ribosomal RNA". It matches the Rfam family "Bacterial small subunit ribosomal RNA", at positions 28 to 507 of the family's 1533-position model. The record is from RNAcentral.